This 488-nucleotide ribosomal RNA is filed under the name Babesia venatorum (nom. ined.). RNAcentral describes it as "SSU rRNA". It matches the Rfam family "Eukaryotic small subunit ribosomal RNA", at positions 500 to 1039 of the family's 1831-position model. The record is from RNAcentral. Lineage: Eukaryota; Apicomplexa; Aconoidasida; Piroplasmida; Babesiidae.
GUCUUGUAAUUGGAAUGAUGGUGACCUAAACCCUCACCAGAGUAACAAUUGGAGGGCAAGUCUGGUGCCAGCAGCCGCGGUAAUUCCAGCUCCAAUAGCGUAUAUUAAACUUGUUGCAGUUAAAAAGCUCGUAGUUGAAUUUCUGCGUUAUCGAGUUAUUGACUCUUGUCUUUAAUCGAUUUCGCUUUUGGGAUUUAUCCCUUUUUACUUUGAGAAAAUUAGAGUGUUUCAAGCAGACUUUUGUCUUGAAUACUUCAGCAUGGAAUAAUAGAGUAGGACUUUGGUUCUAUUUUGUUGGUUUUUGAACCUUAGUAAUGGUUAAUAGGAACGGUUGGGGGCAUUCGUAUUUAACUGUCAGAGGUGAAAUUCUUAGAUUUGUUAAAGACGAACUACUGCGAAAGCAUUUGCCAAGGACGUUUCCAUUAAUCAAGAACGAAAGUUAGGGGAUCGAAGACGAUAGAUACCGUCGUAGUCCUAACCAUAAACUA